RNAcentral lists this long non-coding RNA (406 nucleotides) under Equus caballus (horse). RNAcentral's name for it is "lncRNA (ENSECAG00000050183.1)". Lineage: Eukaryota; Metazoa; Chordata; Mammalia; Perissodactyla; Equidae. The record is from RNAcentral.
CUGCUCUCUGGUCUCCCAAGGCCCUUGAUUUAUAGGGUCCCCACGGACGGAAGCUUUCCCCCGUCAGCGGGUCUCCACUGAAUCACCGGCAGGAGUCCUGGAUGAUCCCCCGGUCGCACGGCCCCUCCCCCGCUCCUUCCCGACCCGUGCGGCAGGGAUCGCAGACUCUAGGGGAGGGAGCGAUGUUCUCUCCUACCGUUCCAGCGCCUCCGAGGGUGUAAGCAAGGACUCUUCUUUGUUUGGUCAAGAGACUCCUCCGUUGGCACCAGACCACUCCACAAAUAGACUGCAAUGCCUUUUUAAAGAAUGACACAUGACCGGGUAAUUUUCUGAGUAUAAAAAAGACAAUUGCAGAAAGAAAUUAUGUUCUGCCUCAUGGAUAUUUGUGGAUGUCCAGAAGAGUUAA